Molecule: ribosomal RNA, 419 nt
Filed under: Lactobacillus sp. ABT L2
Lineage: Bacteria; Bacillati; Bacillota; Bacilli; Lactobacillales; Lactobacillaceae
Description: bacterial SSU rRNA
Rfam family: Bacterial small subunit ribosomal RNA
Source: RNAcentral
GUUAAGUCCCGCAACGAGCGCACCCUUGUUCCUAGUGCCAGCAUUAAGUUGGCACUCUAGUGAGACUGCGGGUGACAAACGGAGGAAGGUGGGGACGACGUCAGAUCAUCAUGCCCCUUAUGACCUGGGCUACACACGUGCUACAAUGGACGGUACAACGAAGCGCGAACUCGCGAGGGCAAGCAAAUCUCUUAAAACCGUUCUCAGUUCGGACCUCAGGCUGCAACUAGCCUGCACGAAGUCGGAAUCGCUAGUAAUCGCGGAUCAGCAUGCCGCGGUGAAUACGUUCCCGGGCCUUGUACAGAACGCCCGUCACACCAUGAGAGUUUGUUACACCCUAAGAGGGUGGGGUACCUUUUAGGAGCCAGCCGCCUAAGGUGGGACAGAUGUUUAGGGUGAAGUUGUAUCAAAGGUCGCCA